GUCGUACAAAACACAGGAGCCAAGAAGGGCUCUCAACCUCAAACCCUAACAAGCAUAAAAUCAACAAAUUGAAGGGGUAAAUCCAACCUAAAUCGAAAUCCAAGCACGAAUUCAUGAUCACCUCGAUGAAGGGAUCAUAAGAUGGAGGCUUGGGGAAAGAAGCGGGUCAAACGGAUCGUAUACGCGGAAAAGAGCAUAAUCCGGAUACUAGGUGAAGAUGGACCUAAUCCGGAUGAAGAUCAAGCGGCGAGCAAGAACCGAACACACGUUAAAUGAAGCUUCCGCGUCAAAUCCUGAUUUGUGUUGAUAUAAGUGAAUUAUGUAAACACUUAUAAAUUGUUUUUGAAAUGUUGUAAUCAUUUGGGAAUGUUGGUAUAACAAGUUUU
This is a long non-coding RNA of Helianthus annuus (common sunflower), 386 nucleotides long. RefSeq lists it as uncharacterized. Lineage: Eukaryota; Viridiplantae; Streptophyta; Magnoliopsida; Asterales; Asteraceae. The transcript has 3 exons. The record is from RefSeq and is a predicted model, not a curated record.